This 999-nucleotide ribosomal RNA is filed under the name Triticum aestivum (bread wheat). RNAcentral describes it as "partial small subunit ribosomal RNA". The record is from RNAcentral. Lineage: Eukaryota; Viridiplantae; Streptophyta; Magnoliopsida; Poales; Poaceae.
AUGUGCGUUGGCUCAAAUGGUCAUCUCCGCUGUGCCGGGUAUCGAAAUGGUUCGUUUUGUAAAUUCAGGAACAGAAGCUUGCAUGGGAGCACUCCGCCUUGUGCGUGCAUUCACUGGGAGGGAAAGAUCCUCAAGUUUGAAGGCUGUUACCAUGGCCAUGCAGAUUCCUUCCUCGUUGAAGCAGGCAGUGGGGUUGCCACCCUCGGCCUCCCAGACUCCCCUGGAGUGCCUAAGGGAGCCACUGUUGGGACUCUAACAGCACCUUAUAAUGAUGUUGAGGCGGUUAAAAAGCUGUUUGAGGAUAACAAAGGGGAGAUUGCUGCAGUCUUCCUUGAGCCGGUUGUCGGCAAUGCUGGCUUCAUUCCUCCGCAGCCUGCUUUCCUAAAUGCUCUCCGUGAGGUGACCAAACAAGACGGUGCACUUCUGGUCUUUGAUGAAGUGAUGACUGGUUUCCGUUUAGCUUAUGGUGGGGCACAAGAGUACUUUGGAAUCACCCCUGACGUGACAACCUUGGGGAAAAUUAUUGGCGGUGGUCUUCCAGUUGGUGCUUAUGGUGGGCGUAAGGAUAUCAUGGAGAUGGUUGCUCCAGCAGGGCCAAUGUACCAGGCAAGAACCCUGAGUGGAAACCCUCUAGCUAUGACUGCUGGAAUCCACACUCUCAAGCGUCUGAUGGAGCCUGGCACGUAUGAAUACUUGGACAAGGUCACCGGUGAACUUGUCCGGCGGAUAUUGGAUGCGGGUGCUAAAACAGGGCAUGAGAUGUGUGGUGGACACAUCAGAGGCAUGUUUGGAUUCUUCUUCGCAGGUGGCCCAGUGCACAACUUUGAUGAUGCCAAGAAGAGUGACACCGCGAAGUUUGGGAGGUUCCACCGUGGGAUGCUGGAAGGAGUGUAUCUAGCACCGUCCCAGUUCGAGGCAGGUUUUACAAGCUUGGCACACACAACCCUAGACAUUGAGAAAACCGUGGAGGCUGCCGAGGAAGUUCUUCGACGGAUGUAG